RNAcentral lists this ribosomal RNA (468 nucleotides) under uncultured bacterium. RNAcentral describes it as "partial 16S ribosomal RNA". It matches the Rfam family "Bacterial small subunit ribosomal RNA", at positions 28 to 507 of the family's 1533-position model. The record is from RNAcentral.
GACGAACGCUGGCGGCGUGCUUAACACAUGCAAGUCGAACGGAAAGGCCCUGCUUUUGUGGGGUGCUCGAGUGGCGAACGGGUGAGUAACACGUGAGUAACCUGCCCUUGACUUUGGGAUAACUUCAGGAAACUGGGGCUAAUACCGGAUAGGAGCUCCUGCUGCAUGGUGGGGGUUGGAAAGUUUCGGCGGUUGUGGAUGGACUCGCGGCUUAUCAGCUUGUUGGUGGGGUAGUGGCUUACCAAGGCUUUGACGGGUAGGCGGCCUGAGAGGGUGACCGGCCACAUUGGGACUGAGGUACGGCCCAGACUCCUACGGGAGGCAGCAGUGGGGAAUAUUGCAGAAUGGGCGGAAGCCUGAUGCAGCAACGCCGCGUGCGGGAUGACGGCCUUCGGGUUGUAAACCGCUUUCGCCUGUGACGAAGCGUGAGUGACGGUAAUGGGUAAAGAAGCACCGGCUAACUACGUG